RNAcentral lists this ribosomal RNA (433 nucleotides) under uncultured bacterium. Its description in RNAcentral is "partial 16S ribosomal RNA". It matches the Rfam family "Bacterial small subunit ribosomal RNA", at positions 29 to 507 of the family's 1533-position model. The record is from RNAcentral.
AACGAACGCUGGCGGCAUGCCUAACACAUGCAAGUCGAACGAGACCUUCGGGUCUAGUGGCGCACGGGUGCGUAACGCGUGGGAACCUGCCCUUAGGUUCGGAAUAACUCCCCGAAAGGGGUGCUAAUACCGGAUAAUGUCUUCGGACCAAAGAUUUAUCGCGUUUGGAUGGGCCCGCGUUGGAUUAGCUAGUUGGUAGGGUAAAAGCCUACCAAGGCGACGAUCCAUAGCUGGUUUGAGAGGAUGAUCAGCCACACUGGGACUGAGACACGGCCCAGACUCCUACGGGAGGCAGCAGUGGGGAAUAGUGGACAAUGGGCGAAAGGCUGAUCCAGCAAGGCCGCGUGAGUGAUGAAGGCCUUAGGGUUGUAAAGCUCUUUUACCCGGGAUGAUAAUGACAGUACCGGGAGAAUAAGCCCCGGCUAACUCCGUG